GACGAACGCUGGCGGCGUGCCUAAUACAUGCAAGUCGGGCGGGGUUUUGGGGAGCUUGCUCCUUAAAACCCAGCGGCGGACGGGUGAGUAACACGUGGGCAACCUGCCCGCAAGACCGGGAUAACUCCGGGAAACCGGGGCUAAUACCGGAUAGGACUCCGGAUCGCAUGAUCCGGGGUGGAAAGGUGGCCUUCGGCUGCCGCUUGCGGAUGGGCCCGCGGCGCAUUAGCUAGUUGGUGAGGUAACGGCUCACCAAGGUGACGAUGCGUAGCCGACCUGAGAGGGUGACCGGCCACACUGGGACUGAGACACGGCCCAGACUCCUACGGGAGGCAGCAGUAGGGAAUUUUCCGCAAUGGGCGAAAGCCUGACGGAGCAACGCCGCGUGAGCGAGGACGGCCUUCGGGUUGUAAAGCUCUGUUCUUCGGGAAGAAUGGCGGGAGGGUGAACAGCUCUCUCGUUUGACGGUACCGAAGGAGAAAGCCCCGGCUAACUACGUGCCAGCAGCCGCGGUAAUACGUAGGGGGCGAGCGUUGUCCGGAAUUAUUGGGCGUAAAGCGCGCGCAGGCGGCCGAUUAAGUCAGGUGUGAAAGGCUGCGGCUCAACCGCAGAGUUGCAUCUGAAACUGGUCGGCUUGAGUGCAGGAGAGGGGAGCGGAAUUCCCGGUGUAGCGGUGGAAUGCGUAGAGAUCGGGAGGAACACCAGUGGCGAAGGCGGCUCUCUGGCCUGUAACUGACGCUGAGGCGCGAAAGCGUGGGGAGCGAACAGGAUUAGAUACCCUGGUAGUCCACGCCGUAAACGAUGAGUGCUAGGUGUUGGGGGCAUCAGGCCCUCUGUGCCGAAGGAAACCCAAUAAGCACUCCGCCUGGGGAGUACGGCCGCAAGGCUGA
Molecule: ribosomal RNA, 890 nt
Filed under: uncultured compost bacterium
Lineage: Bacteria
Description: bacterial SSU rRNA
Rfam family: Bacterial small subunit ribosomal RNA
Source: RNAcentral